RNAcentral lists this long non-coding RNA (286 nucleotides) under Pan troglodytes (chimpanzee). Its description in RNAcentral is "long non-coding RNA NONPTRT009164". The record is from RNAcentral. Lineage: Eukaryota; Metazoa; Chordata; Mammalia; Primates; Hominidae.
GCUCAGCAAGUGGCUGCUCUGUGUAUUUUAUGUGGGGUUUUGUGCCAUCCUGAGAAACACUGAGACUGCCAAAGUAUUGGUCUGCAGGUUAAGCAAAUUAAAAAAAAAAAAAAAAAGCAAGAGAUAACAUUGACAGGGGCUGGGAAGUCCAAGAACAAAGUGCUGGCCCCUUUAGUUCUAAAUCAUUAAAGAUUCUAACAUAUCUCAAAUUACUAAGAAGAAAAAUAUAAAUAACAUACAAACAGAUUUUCCUGUACAAGGAAGGUAGCCAGCAUAGAUUCUUUUU